Molecule: ribosomal RNA, 253 nt
Filed under: uncultured bacterium
Lineage: Bacteria
Description: partial 16S ribosomal RNA
Rfam family: Bacterial small subunit ribosomal RNA
Source: RNAcentral
UACGUAGGGGGCAAGCGUUGUCCGGAUUUAUUGGGCGUAAAGAGCGUGUAGGCGGCCGCACAGGUCCGUUGUGAAAACUGGAGGCUUAACCUUCAGACGUCGAUGGAAACCGUGCGGCUAGAGUCCGGAAGAGGAGAGUGGAAUUCCUGGUGUAGCGGUGAAAUGCGCAGAUAUCAGGAAGAACACCCGUGGCUAAGGCGGUUCUCUAGUACGGUACUGACGCUGAGACGCGAAAGCGUGGGGAGCGAACAGG